Long non-coding RNA from Paramacrobiotus metropolitanus, 2202 nucleotides. RefSeq lists it as uncharacterized. The record is from RefSeq and is a predicted model, not a curated record. NCBI's taxonomy places the organism in Eukaryota, Metazoa, Tardigrada, Eutardigrada, Parachela, Macrobiotidae. The transcript is spliced from 3 exons.
AAUUAACAUCAACAUUAAUCGUGAUCAAGACAAUAAAAUAUACAAGCAAAAAUAUAUAAUACAAACAAUAUGUAGUAUAUGUGUAUCUUAAAUACUUCUACAGAUAUACGGCAUUUACAGACAAAAAUUAAUGUGAAGUUCGGCGAUUCGACAUAACAGUGCUCGAUCCGCUCGAUAGCUGCCGUCGGCCGAAUGCAGUAAGGUAAGUAUGUACUAUAAAUUUUGCUUAUCUCCCGACUGUCGACCGGUUCUUUUAUUAGCUGGUUAUUGGCUAGAGUAGCCCUACCCGUCUGGGCUAUUACAAUGACUCAAUCACAUUUGAGCAUGGUUCCUUAACAAUGUUUUCGGUAUGUAUGUAGGCCGUUUCUGAUUUUCUUGUCUGGACACGGUAGCUAUUUUAAAUUUUGGUAGCGUACAUUCAGCAGCGGACGUUGUCCAAGUUGAAUCAACUGUGGCACAUGGGCUAUGCUUGAGUACUUGUACUACUGUAUUCUUUCGCCUUCGUACUGUUUCGAUUAGGAAACACAGCAGCAGCAAGCAAGAUACAGGUCUGUAGUGCUCCAUGAUCUCCAUCGUAAGCUAUAACAUCAGUAAAAUUAACUUAUUGUUAGAAGCAUUUAAGCACAGUUUUUCGGUAGGAAAAUUAUUAGCCAUUACAAUAUUAGGAUUUGUGACGCUGAUUUAAACGGAAUCAAACGCAUAAAAUGACACCAAAAGUCCAAAGGUUCCUGAAUACGUUCCCAAACGCCAUUGGUACCAUUACGUCACCGUCUAGCACGAUCCGUUUUUUUGAACUGUAUAACUCGGCAUGACAUUCUGUUUUAUAGUGAGGCUAGAAAUAAGAUGCUUGAUGGAUGCGAUGCAGAUAGAUUCUGAAGGGCUCGAGAAAAUUCAAGGGCAAGAACCUUGUCCUCGCCGUCAAGGAAAAUUUAACGUUAACGUGGAUGUGCAUACGGCCGUACAACGUUGAUAUGGAAAGCGGGGAGUCGGAUAUAUGAUAUAGCAACAGCCCUCUUCCCCAAUUCCAAAGGUUCCAGUUCUUUCCAUGAGAUUUUAAUAAAAACUUAGCGCAUACGCACCGAGAACAGUCUAAACAAUGCCUAAAUAUAACCAUCGCGACUACUAAAUAGUGCCGCGAAUUAACUAUUAAUUUUCCUUGCGACCUUGUGUAAUGUUUGUGUCGGUGUAAUGUUUAUCGUUAAUUAAUUCUACGUCUCCACAUAAUAUUCUAGAUUGAGGUCCAAUUCAAGGCAGCAGUCACGUCAUAAAAGGAACAUAGGAACAAAAGGUAUCAGAACGUUCAACAAAAUCCCAAGUCCUAUCUAUAUGAUUAUAUCUAUAUUAAACUUUCAAGUACUCUCAACAUAUCAUUCUGUAAUCAGCAUGGUAAAACUUUUUCAGCGAACCGACAGACUUCCAGUCAACGCAGUCCAAAGCUGCUGUAAAUCUGUUCAUGCAUGUACAUAAUUCUGUAAUCUAAGCUUCUGCCUUCUUCCGGUAAAGUAAUCGGUAGAUACGUAUGCGAAAUUUCUUAAUCGAUCACAUAUUACAUGUAAGUAUGCCAAGAUUAUUGUCUGGUCCCCUUAAUUGCAACACUAGAACGUUGAAUUAAACCACUCAUUGAUGUACAGUAUUUUAGUAAACAGUAUUUUAGUUAUACAGUACAGUAUUUUAGUUAUACGCUAAGCGGAUACGACUCACUGAAAAAAGAGGUGCCAUGUUGACUCGACAACACAGUAAACAUAAACAAAACUCAUAAGGACUGCGCGGCCGCGGAGGAAGCGGUUUGGAUCUGCUGAAUAGUUCGAACUUCGAACCGAUGGUUUCUGUUGCUUCCUUAAAGUUCCUUGAAUAACCAGCGGCGUCGAUCAUUGAAAGGACGCCACAGAAAUAGUUUUCCCUAUCGUUUUUGAAAUGAUGAUGCGUAUGCCGUUACAAUCGAUCAAUGCCGUAACGUUACGGAAGUCACUGGUCGAUAUACAGUAGAGACACCAUGAUUAUACGGCAUAUUUUCCAAUUACAGUGCGUUUUGGAGACAGCCGGUACUGUAGUUAAAGGAAAUGCAGCAGACGUUCUCAGAUUACUGUAUACGCGCCCUAAGAUCCCGAAUGCCGAUUUUGGUUAUUUUCAUUGUUUGAAUCUGAAUCAUUUUAAUUGGUGUCCAGAAUAACAGGCAUAUACGGUAUGUAUUGUAUGUCACGC